UACUUACAAACUCUUUUAGAUAUAAC
RNAcentral lists this non-coding RNA (26 nucleotides) under Cricetulus griseus (Chinese hamster). The record is from RNAcentral. Lineage: Eukaryota; Metazoa; Chordata; Mammalia; Rodentia; Cricetidae.